RNAcentral lists this long non-coding RNA (37464 nucleotides) under Triticum aestivum (bread wheat). RNAcentral's name for it is "long non-coding RNA (TAES_LNC007816)". Lineage: Eukaryota; Viridiplantae; Streptophyta; Magnoliopsida; Poales; Poaceae. The record is from RNAcentral.
CACAACACACACACACACACAAAGCACAGCAGGUGCAACACUAGCUGCAAGCACAAGAAGUAGGCAGCAAUGGUGAGGCAUCGCCUCCUCGCCGUGCUCCUCAUCGGGGUAGUUGCAGCCUCUGCCUUCAACCAAGCAGCUGCCGCUGGCCGAGGCCUUGCCGCCAUCGAGAAGUUUGCAGAGCUAGAGCCAAAGCCAGAAACCAAACCAGAGCCAAUGCCCAAACCUACGCCACACCCAGAGCCAGAGCCAUGCGAACCUGAACCGAUGCCCAAACCCAAACCAAAGCCCGAACCAAAACCCGGACAAAAGCCCAAGCCCAAGCCGAUGCCAAAACCAAAGCCCAAGCCCUGCUCCAAACCAAAGCCACUUCCUAAGCCCGAGCCAAUGCCGAAACCCGAACCAAAGCCGGAGCCCAAGCCUAAUGAACCGAAACCGAAGCCGCCUCCUAAGUGCAAACCACCGACGGCUCACAAUUGAUGGGAUACUUGUAUAUGACAGUUGAUGGAGGAGACCCCAUAAUGGAGGACACCCCAUACGGCGCCACACUGUGCUAUUUCUAGAAUAAGUGGUUCCAUUUAUUUUUAUUGUUCCAUGCAUGUGUGAUGAGUAUGAGUACUCUGUACUUAUUAUUUGCUUGUUGGUAUAUGUUCAUCUACUUUGUACGUGACUCGACUCGUUGUUCUUUUGAGUUUCUACACAUGAUUGUAUUCAUUCACAUGAAUGAGCUAUUUUGUCAGUGAACUGCAGUCUAUGUUGUUUUCUCUAUGGUGUGCAGUCUCAGUUAUUUUCUCUACGGGAUUGUUUCAUUAUUANNNNNNNNNNNNNNNNNNNNNNNNNNNNNNNNNNNNNNNNNNNNNNNNNNNNNNNNNNNNNNNNNNNNNNNNNNNNNNNNNNNNNNNNNNNNNNNNNNNNNNNNNNNNNNNNNNNNNNNNNNNNNNNNNNNNNNNNNNNNNNNNNNNNNNNNNNNNNNNNNNNNNNNNNNNNNNNNNNNNNNNNNNNNNNNNNNNNNNNNNNNNNNNNNNNNNNNNNNNNNNNNNNNNNNNNNNNNNNNNNNNNNNNNNNNNNNNNNNNNNNNNNNNNNNNNNNNNNNNNNNNNNNNNNNNNNNNNNNNNNNNNNNNNNNNNNNNNNNNNNNNNNNNNNNNNNNNNNNNNCAUAAGGGAAGAGAAGGCCUCCCUAAAUAGCAGCACAAUAUGAAGUGUAUAGUGUGCACGUACGUGUCUGGUGUUCUAGAUGUAUAAAGUGUACCCAUAUGCUAGACAACGGCCUUGUUCUCUACCUUUCACCUAUGAACUAAGUCCCGACCAAGUACGUUAGUAUUUAUGCCCAGGCUCUGUGAGUGAGCUGGCUCCGCUGCUGGUUAUACUAGGUAUACGUCACACACAUUGCUACGGAAAAUUAUAGCAAUGAAAUUAUGAAAAAUAGCAUAUAUGAGAAUAAUACCACACAACAUUCUCACCAUAUGAGGAUAGAAAACCUAGACAUAACUGGAGGUGGAUGCAUGUUAUAUAUAUUGUCUUGUGACCUCCAAGUUUAAUUAUUUGUUGCUGAAAUAUAAAUAGUAAAAAUAAUGUGGUGAAGAGCUUGCAUAUGUUUGAUGAUGUGGAGGACUUGCAUAUGAUGGAAAGUGAAAAUUCGAAUGAUUACAUGCACGCUUGAUGAUAUGGAGGACUUAUGUGUGAUGAAAACUGGUAAGUGAAAGUUGAUUGGUUGCAUGCCCUCCAUAAUGUGAUUGACAUGCAUGUGCAUUUAAAUGGGAUGAAUUACUUAGAUAUAUAGGAUAUGUGUGAAAGGUAACUACACCCCCUAGGUCAAGAUUACCAAUAAAAGGCACCAUGAAUUUUUUUAUUAACGUAUUUUCUCUUUAUCAAUUCGCAACAAGAAAAAUCUCACAGUGAUAGUGUUAUGCAACAUACGAGAGACCAUAAUAAUCUCUCACCACCCCAUGGUACUGGCAGGGUCGGCUCAAUGAUUUUGAGAGCCCUUGGGUGAAGUUGGCGAAUUGAUUGUCUUUUGCUUCAACACCCGACAAAUCCUUUUUAAGCAACAUUAGGGUAACCAUAAAACUAAAGAGGAAAGUAAAUACAUAAAUAGAGAAGUUAGAGCCCUAACAUUUAACAUGCUUCGACGAAUGGGUGGCACUGGUAAUAUGGUUAUGGGUGUGUGGAAUGAGAGGCCUAGAGAGUGACAAGCUGGUGCCUCGCUGUCACAGACAUCUGAGGAGGUGGCGAGACUCAUGCCGUCAAGCUUACCCGCGAAGACAAAGAUCGCGAAUUGCGAUUAGGAGAGCUGGUGAUGCCAUGUGUUAGUGUCGCGUGCCGAUUGUGAUUAUUUUCAUUUUUAUGGACCAAUUCAACUAUUGACUAAAGACCUAAAGCUUGCUUUUAGGAGAGCAUGUAUGCCUCACUUUUAGGAGAGCAUCUUCACUGCGCUUAUAGCGCUCAUUAGUGCCACAUCGCACAGGUGCUCGCACGCAUAGGUCGUCUCAUUAAAAAGCAAAGGGGUUGCUUGCCCGACGCCCACUACACUCUUUUCUUGCCCGUCUUUUUUCUGGGAUUGCUCUGUUAUGCAAUGAAAGAAAACAUUCACCACUUUUCCAAAUUUAAAACAUUCAUGAAUAUGAAAAUGUUCACAUAUUUGAAAAAAUACGGGUUUGAAAAAAUUAAAUUAAUUCAAAAACACUGAUGACUUAAAAAAUGACAAGUUCAUUUUUUUGUGAAUUUGAAAAAAGGGAAUUCAAACAAGAUUGUAAAUUUGAAAAAAUGUUCACAAAUUUGAAAAAAUUCAUGAAGUUUAAAGUAAAUAUAAAAAAACUGAAGCAAGGCAGAAAAGUAAAAAAAGAGAAAGAAAAACCUGGCCGAAAGUUUCCUGAACCAAAGUUGACCAAUAAGCUUCUGGAAGCUUUCGGGAGUAGCUUCCGCUCACAUAAACGCCAUAGAUUGGCCAACCCUUUUACGAUCUAUAAAAGGAAGAGGUGUGCGCACUUUCUACCAAUAACUUAGAAACCAGUGCUAAAUAACAUAUUUCCACUUUUAGCGAGGGGUAGAACAGAAUUCGACUACAGAGCCACCAUAUGUGCCAAUCGCAACAUUUUUUUCUAGCAAACAAGUUUUUGUCUAUAGGGGGACACGUCUCACCGCCAACGAACGGAUUUUUCUCAUUUUUAUUUUCAUUUUUCUCAUUUUUGAGAAACUUUUCUAUAAAAUAUAUGGAUUUGUACUUUUUUACAAGUGAUCAUGUAGUUUAAUAAGUGUUCAUGUACUUCAAAAAUGUUCAUAAGAUAUUUGUGAAACGUUUUCAAAAUAUCAAACAUUUUGCAAAUACACAUAGAUUAAAAAGUGUUCAUAUUUUUCCAAAAAUACACACUGUGAACAUUUUGAACAAUACAGGAUCUAGAUUUAUUUUAAUACAUGAUGAAUCAUUGAAAUAACAAUAUUUUCUGAAAACAAAAAAUGUUUUUCUUAUCCAUGAUAAUUUUUAAAUACACUGUAAAUAUUUUGUUCGUACACGAAGAACAUUUGGUAAAAAACAUGAGUGAACAUUGCCCGCUGCCGGUGAGGGAGGGGCGAUGAUGGUGGUGCACUUUCAGCUUGAUCGAGUGAUUUUAUACAUCGCUAGGUGGUCUAUGGAUCUGAAUGUAUGUUCUAUUACUUCUGGUGUUCUUAUACUGACAUGACAGUUGAUAAAUAGAUCCAAAACAAUCAUAAAAAAAUAAAAAUAAAAUGUUCAACUUGUCUUAAUAAUUGUUCUUGAGAUUUAAAAUAUAUAUUCUGAUUGUUCCAGAAAAAUUACAUUUCAAUUGUUUUCACAUGUUUACAAAAUUGUUCAUUGCAAUAUUAAAAUGUUCAUGAAAUAUAUAUAAAAAUGUUUUCUUACAGUUUAUAAAAAUAUUCGUGGUAUAUAAAACUUGUUCAUCAUGUUUUAUAAAACGUUCAAACAUGUAUUGGAAAAAUAUUCUAUGUGUAUUUAAAAAAUAUUAAUAUUUUCAAAACAAUCAACAUGUAUUUGAAAUAUGGAAAAUGAAAAACAAAAUAAAAAACAAGAAAAAUAUACAGAAAAGUAAAAGGAAAAAACAAAAAUGAAAACCCUAGACAAACCAGAUAAAGAAAACAGGAAAAAAUCCGGAUAAAACGUUCUGAAAAUCGCAUGAAACAAACCAAUGCUACACUGCCUCCACCGCUACUGGGCCACAGCCCGCACCGCAUCACCAAAGGUGAGCGCCUCACAGUAUGUAGAGACAUAGCAUUUGCGCAAAAUGACCGCACGCAUUGAACAAACUGUUGGCUAGCUAGUUAUUAGAAUGACAUGUAGACUUUUUAAACUCAACAAAAUUAUAGGUACAAUGCUUUGGAUCAUAGAUACAAGAAAUUACAAAAUAACUUCUAUAACUAAGAAUUAGAAUGAAACCCUCUGGAGUCAAAAUAUGAUAAAUGGAGGAAAAAACAUUACUCCCUCCGUUCCACAAUAUAAGACAUUUUUGCAAGCUAGUUAAAACGUCUUAUAUUGUGGGACGGAGGAGUAGCUCAUAUAAUCCUUCCUCUUUCCGAAUAUAUGGCGGUGCUAAACUGGAAAAUCAUACAUGCAUAACUAAAACACAUGCACGCAUGAGACUGGAGAAUGAGAGCAUGCAGCAUCAAAAUAGGUUAGUUUGUCGGAGAGUUAUAAGAUUCAAUAGUUUGAGACAAUACGCAUAAUAAAAUCCCCAUUGCUAUCUAUGUGCCUAGUAUAUAUAUCGGGCCAGAGGGAGUGCUUGAGAAAACACCGAGUCAGCAAAAAUCGGUCAAUGAAGCUUCCAACUGGUGGUGCAGCCGUGCAGCUCACGCACGAGGUGCACAAUCCUCGGCCAGUUCCUUUCCAGAGACCUUUGCUUUCCAUUGUGAAUUGAACUGAAGCGUUUGCUUUGUACUCCCUCUGUAAACUAAUAUAAAAGCAUUUAGAUCAUUAUAAAGUAGUGAUCUAGACGCUUUUAUAUUAGUUUCCGGAGGAAGUACUUUGUAUUGCAUUGCACUAACGUGUACACGGUCUAUCUUGUUUUCUAAAUGAUGACCGGUCACACGGACUUGUGGGCACGGGAUUGACAAGGCAACUAACAGAAUUCUAUUACUACGAGGAGGCAACUAACAGAAUUCUAUUACUACGAGGAGGCAACUAACAAAGUAAAAAUAUCGUUACUCACCCUACUAUCAUCAUAGAGAUACACACGUAAUAUCCAGCUGUGCUUAGGCUGGUCAUAGUGGGGAGUAACUUAGAGUAGUAACAUGCAUAUGUUACUACUCUAGUUACUACCCUUAUAGUGGGAAAUGUCAUAUGUGUAGUAACAUACACAUGUUCAUUUAUUGUCUUAUAGACUCAUUUUGCAUUGAAAAGCGCUAUGUGAUGGUAACAUAUUAGGUUACUCUAUUUACCUCUCUCCUCAUUUACUACUUGUCACAUCAACAUUUUUGCUUAUGUGGCAUCUAUGUUACUACCUAUGUUACUCCCACUAUGACCAGCCUUAUUAACACCUCUACCUACGUAGUAGGUUGCUUCAUUUGUAAUCAACAAAUUAACCAAUCCAUUGCCAAUUUGCCAUGUUACCCAGUACUACUUGUCAGUCCAGCUAGCUAUCUGCAAUUUACUAAUUAAUGCAGCCUCCAGAUCUGGUUUGUUUCACCCAGCCUAUAAAACCACACAAUAUGUACCUCCAGUUUUGCACACAACACACACACAAAGCACAACAGCUAGCUGCAACCACAAGUAGGCUGUAAUGGCGAGGCAUCGCCUCCUUGCCGUGCUCCUCAUCGGGAUAGUUGCAGCCUCCACCUUCAACCAAGCAGCUGCGGCUGGCCGAGGCCUUGCCGUUGUCGAGAAAUUUGCAGAGCUAGAGCCAAAGCCAGAAUCCAAACCAGAGCCAAUGCCCAAACCUAUGCCACACACAGAGCCAGAACCAUGCAAACCUGAACCGACGCCCAAACCCAAACCAAAGCCCGGACAGAAGCCUGAACCAGAACCCAAGCCCAAGCCGAUGCCAAAACCGAAGCCCGAGCCCUGCUCCAAACCAAAGCCGGGGCCUAAGCCCGAGCCGAUGCCAAAACCUGAACCAAAGUCGGAGCCCAAGCCUAAACCUGAACCGAAACCAAAGCCGCCUCCAAAGUGCAAACCACCAACAACUCACAAUUGAUGGGAUACUAUAUACGAGAGUUGAUGGAGGAGACCCCGCACGGAGCCACACUAUGCUAUUUCUAGAAUAAGUGGUGUAGUAUUCCUUGUGUUCCAUUUCUUUCUAUUUUCCCAUGUGAGCGUGAUGAGUACUAGUAGUGUGUAAUUACUAUUUGGUUGUUGGUAUAUGUUCAUCUACUUUGUAUGUGACUUGACUCGCGUUGUUCUUUUGAGUAUCUACGCAUGAUUGUAUUCAUUCACAUGAAUGAGCUAUUUUGUCAGUGGACUGCAGUCUGCUGUUUUUCCUAUGGGUUGCAAUCUCAGUUAUCUCUAUGGGAUUAUUUCAUAUUAUGUGGUCUUUUUUGGGGGGAAAGAUGAUGUCAACAAAAAGGAAGAGAAGGACUCCCUAAAUUGCAGCACGCAUAUGAAGUGUAUAUGCGGGUAUGUGUCUGGUGUUCUAGAUGUAUAAAGUGUACUCACAUGCCAGACAGCGGUUUUGUUCUCUACCCUUCGCCUAUGAACUAAGUCCCGACCAGGUGCGUUAGUAUUUGGUUUGAGCCCCGUUCCUACAUCCUGCUUGAGCCCCGUUCCUACCCUAGCGCCGCCACCACCAGGCGACUAGGGAGAGGCGAUCUUUUCCUCCGAUCUCCACCGGCCGGGGCGCUGGCCCCCUCUCCCUUCGGCCACUGCUCCGGCGGCAGGAGGGAGGGGGACCCCGUUCCUUCGCUCUGUAGUUAGGGUUUGGAUUUGUAGGUCGUGGUGCGUCGUUGGGGUGGUGGGAGCGGCACCUGGACGAAUAAAUCUGCUUCAACUCUACUCCCACACCGGCGGUGUCUUUCAUGGCGGCGUCUCGGAGUUGAUGGCAUCGUGUCUCUGUCGAUCCCUCAGAUCGGCAGCAUUAGGGUUCAUGGAUGAUGUUGGCGAGACGGCGGCGGCGACUCCAUCAGGUGUGUCUCUCCUUAUGCUCUGUCCCGGUUGCUGUGGCGUUGUCUCCGACGUCAUGGUGGAGCAGGGAGGUUUUGUCGUUCAGGAGUACGCGCAGGCGGUUGUCUACACAAGUGACAGCUGGAAGAUGGAGUAUCCUGUGUUGGGUCUGUGGUCGAAGGAUGCCAGUUCUGGUUUCCUCCUCCGACGUCGUCAUCGUCAUGCGGGGGUGUCAGUUCUGAAAUUCGAUGGCGUGUACGGGGACAUGUUGCCCCGGUCUGAUUCUGUCAACGGCUAUGGUUUUGUUUCUGGCAAACUACUUUGGAGGUCCGUAAAGCUGUUGAUCAGCGAUGAAGUCGCAUCGAGCUUUGGUGAAGAGGUGAUCUGUCUUUUUAUCCUUUGGUGGUCACUUCGGUGGUGUCCAAGGAAAGGGACAUGCGCUAGUAUUUUGCAUAAGAUUUUCCUAUCUUUUCAGUUAUGUAUGAUCGGUGCUUACAUGACUUGUAACUUGAUCUUUAUUCUAUUUCUAUAUAAAUGAGACACGUAUUAUCAUGAAAAAAAAGGUGCAUUAGUAGUUAUACCCAGGCUCUACUAGUGAGUUGGCUCCGUUGCUAGUUAUACUAGGUAAACAUCACACACAUUGCUACGGAAAUUUAAAGCAAUGAAAUUAUAAAAAAUAGCAUAUAUGUGAAUAAUACCAUACAACAUUCUCAACAUAUGACAAUAGAAAACCUAGAUGUAACUGGAGGGUGGAUGCAUGUUAUGUUGUCUUGUGACCUUCAAGUUUAAUUAUUUGUUGUUGAAAGAUAAUAAAUAGUAAAAAUAAUGAGGUGAAGAGCGUGCGUGUGUUUCAUGAUGUGGAGGGCUUGCAUAUGAUGGAAAGCGAAAAGUCAAAUGAUUACAUGCACCCUUGAUGAUGUGGAGGACUUGCAUGUGAUAAAAAAUGGUAAGUGAAAGUUGAUUGGUUGCAUGUCUUUCAUGAUGUGAUUAAUUUGCAUGUGCAUUUAAAUGGGAUGACUUACUUAGAUAUAUAGGAUAUAUGUGUGAAAGGUUACUGCAACCCCCCGGUAUAUAUGUGUGAAAGGUAAUUGCACCCCCUGGUAAAGAGAUAAGUGCCGGAGCUACCAAAAAAUUAUUGGGCAGGCCAAGGUGGCCCGUCCUAAAGGAAACACAUUUUUCUCUCUCAAAAGGCCCAAGUUUACCUAUACUAUGGCCACGUAAGGUAGAGUGGAAGAAAAGCUCUCACGUCGCCCCUCUCGGGCGACUCGGGAGCGGCCCCAAACCCUAGCCGCCACCUCCUCUCCUCCCUCCUGCCCCCUCCUCGCCGCCACCCGAGGAGCCUGCCGGCUGCCGCGCGUCUUCCGGUGAAGGUGGCGGCGAGGAUCUGCUGCCUCGCGCCGGCGUGAGGAGCUUUGGAAGCCAGGGCGGCGGCCCUGGGUGGAGAUGGAGGCGUCGAUUUCUCCGGUGGAUGAUGCGCGUAGGUGAUGGUCGUCCCUCCCGGCCGCGUGGGUGGCGUGAGGACGGCGAGGUCUUGCUGCAGCGGUGGGCGGCUCUCUUCCUCCCAGCCCCUUCCCUCCUGCAGUGGUCUCCUCUCGCCGAUCUGGUGGCUGGUUCGUCAGAUCUGGGCUUCGAGGAUGGGGCGGUGGAGACUUGGAACGGGGGAAACCCCUGGUCGAUUUCGCGUCGACCUCGACGCCGGCGGCGCUCCGGUGUCGUUCUCCCUCUUGAGGGCGGGUCGAGCUUCCAGAUCCGUCCCUCCUCCUCCUCCUCCCUUCCCCGGGCGAAAGCUUGGCCUUUUUGGCCGGACAGUGGAGGCGUUCUGGCGUCUCGGCCCUUCCUGGAGGCGCCGUUCAAGGGGUGGUUGGGGGUUGUGGACCUGGUGCGUGGUGGUGGGUGGCGGUGGUGGUACUCGGUUCCCCUGGUUGCCGACGUUGGUGGUGACGUGUAGGUUCUUCCGCAUCCUUCAGCGGCUCCUCACUUUGUUUGCUGGUUGGUCGCCGGCUGGCAGUGGGUGUCCGUGUGUUUGGCACGGUCUGGAAGAAGGGGAGAUAGUGGUCUCUCCUCCGGCAGUGGCCCGAGGCGGCGGCCGGUGCAGUCGAUGGUUUCCUUCACGCGGUCUGGAUCUUCAUGUUCACGGCUUUUGCUGUCGCCGGGUGGCUUCGGCCCUGCCGUUCUAGCUGUGCAAGAUCUCCGGCGGCUUGAUCGCAGUAUUUCUUGCUGCCUUAUUCUCUGUUGCUCUUGGUUGUAGUGAAUUUGGCAUGUCUUUUUCAGUUUUUGUCAAGUCUUUGCCUUUGUAAUUCAGCACCAUUGUAUCCUAGCCGGUUGAUGGCUUCAUUAAUUUGAAGUCGGGUCUUUGUGCCUUUUCUCUAAAAAAAAGUUUACAUAUACUAUUUGAUGUUUUGGCUAUGCAUUGGGCCGGCUAUAUAUGGCCCAUCUGGCCUUGCUUUAGCUCCACUAGUGGUCAAGACUAUAAGAAAACGCACCAUGAAAAAUAUUAUAACAAUUUUUCUCUUACUCAAUUCGCGACAAGAAAAAUCUCUCUAUGAUAGUGCUACACAACAUAUGAGAGACCAUAAUAAUCUCUCACCCAUCCCAUGGUGCUGGCAGGGUCAACUCUAUAAUUUUGAGAGCCCUUGUGUGAAAUUGGCAAAUUGAUAGUCUUUUUUUUCUUUUAUUGUGCAUGAAAACUCCUUUUAAGCAACAUUAUAGUAACCCUAAAACUGACAAGGAAAGAAAAUACAUAAGUAGAAUUUUAGAAAUCAGAGCGCUAACAUUUAACAUGCUUCAGCGAAUGGGUGGCUCUGGUAAUAUGGAUAUGGAUACGAGGAAUGAGAGGCCUAGAGAGUGAUAAGCUCAUGCUUCGUUGUCACAGACGCCCGAGGAGGCGAGACACCCACGUCGUCAAGCUUCGAGACAAACCUGUGAAGAUGAAGAUCACGAAUUACAAUUAGGAGAACUAGUGAUGCCAUGUGUCCGUGUUGCACACCGAUUAUGAUUCUUUUCCCUUUUAUGGACCAGUCAACCAACGGCUAAAGGCCUAAAGCUUCUUGAAGAGCGUGUAUACCUCAAUUUUAGGAGAGCUCCUUCUCACCGCUUAUAGUGCUCUUUCUUUUUUUUGCGAAAACACUUGUAUUACUCAACUCAUAAUGUCUUUACAAUCAUCAAGGGAAAUACCCAAGACCUCAUCUGGCCCAGAUCCCAGCCAGGUCAUAGUCCGCCCUCUACUCGAGCAAAUCUAGCCAAACUAUCACUAGCUUUAUUAUGGGCUCUCAAAACAUGAGUAAUACAAGUUCGUCUCAAAGGAAGCAGCAACCUUAUUUCAUUAACCAACGAGGCAUAGACUGAACGAUCAACUUCGCCGGAGCUUAUCAUGGAGACGGCCAAGCUUGAGUCUGACUCAAUGACAAUGGGCAGUUCUGAACUCUGUAUGGCGAGCGAAACGCCCUCCAUGAUAGCACAUAAUUCAGCUUCAACAACGUCUCUACAGGAAUAUAACACCCUGCAGCUUGACAAAAUAAUCACACCCCUGGAGUCUCGAAGAAUCAUACCAGCGCCCGCUUUAUCAUCCGUUACAAACGAUCCAUCUGUAUUCAAUUUCACCCAGCCAACAUCCGGUGGCUUCCACCUACAUUCAGGGUCCGUUCGCUGAUGUUGCACCUGUACGGAAGACAUAUGAUCCAAGGAAACGAAUCCCUUGCCUUUAGCCGGGUCCAUUCCUGGAUUUUGUUUGAUCCCAAUCAACUCUUCCAAAUACCUUUUCAGAAAACUAACAGAGACAUCCAUAGCGGGAGCUGGUUUAAAGUGCACUACUUCAUUUCGAACAUACCAACUUCUCCAUAGUGCUCAUUAGUGCCGUAGCGCACAAGAGCCCGCGCGCAUGUGUCAUCCCAUUAAAAGGCAAAGCGGUUGCUCACCUGGCCACCCACUACACUCUUUUUUCGCCAGCCUUUUUUUUCCUGGAAUUGCUCUGUUAUUCAAUGAAAAAAUGCCACCGGUUUUCUAAAUUUAAAAAUUCAUGAAUAUGAAAUAUUUCACAAAUUUGAAAAACAAUUAUGGUUUGAAGAGAAUGAAUGCAAAAACAUUGAAAAUUUUGAAAAAAAUCACAAAUUCAUUUUUUGUGAAUUCGAAAAAAGUUGAUUCAAAAAAGUUUGUGAAAUUUGAAAAAAAAAUCUCAUGAAUAUGAAAAAAUGGUCAAAAUUUGAAAAAAUAUGGUAGAGAAGUUUAACAUUCAAAUAAUCAGAAAAAGAGAAAAAAGGCGGAAGAGUAAAAAAGAAAAAUCAGGCCGAAAGUUUCCAUAGCCAAAGUUGGCCCAUAAGCUUCUGGAAGCUUCCUAAAAUCGAGAGGAGGGAGCUUCCGCUCAUGUGAAUGCCAUAGAUUGGGCAGCCCUUUUACAAUCUAUUGAAGGAAGAGAUGUGUGCGCUUUCUGCCAAUAACUUGGAAACCAAUGCUAAAUAGCAUAUUUCCACUUUUAGCGUGGCAUAGAACGGAAUUCAACUAUAGAUCCACGAUAUGGGCAAAUCCCAACAUUUUUUCUAACAAGCUACUUUUUUCUAUAGGGGCAGAUGUCUCACUCUAACUACGAGUAGGAUUUUUUUGUUCUUAUUUUCACAUUUUUCUUUUCAUUUUUCCUAAUUUUCUAUUAAACGCUCUAUAACAUAUAUGGGUGAUCAUAUAGCUUAAUAAGUGUUCAUGUACUUUAAAAAAUUUCAUCACGUAUUUAUAAAACGUUUUCAAAUAUGAAACAUUUUUAAAAUACACAUACAAUUACAGAAGUGUUCAUAUUUUUCUGAAAAUAUACACUAUGAACAUUUUGAACAAUACGGAUGAAGAUUUAUUUUAAUACAUGAUGAACCUUUGAAAUCACAACAUUUUCUAAAAAUACACAAUGAUUUUUAUAUACACAAUAAAUAUGUUUUUCAUACACGAUGAACAAUUUGUAAAAACAUGAGUGAACAUUGCCAAACUCCGAUGAGGGAGGGGCGAUGAUGGUAGUACGCCUCCGGCUUGCUCGAGUGAUUGUAAACAUUGCUAGGUGGUCUACGGACCUAGACAUAAGUUGUAUUACCUCUGGUGUUCUUGUACUGACAUAAUGGUUGAUAAGUAAAUUGGAUUUUUUUUCAUAAUUUUAUUCAGAAAAAUGUUCAACAUGUCUUACAAAUUGUUCCAGAGAUUAAGAAAAAUAUAUUCGCAUUUUUCAAAAAGAACUGUACAUUUCAAUUUUUUCACAUGUUUAGAAUAUUGUUCAUGAAUUAUAAAAAAAUGUGUUAUUACAUUUUUGGACAGAUGUUUGUGGUAUAUAAAAAUUGUUCAUCAUGUAUUUAUAAAACAAUCAAACUUGUAUUAAAAAAAUAUUCUAUGUGUAUCUAAAAAUGUUUAUUAUUUUUAAUAAUUUCAAUGUGUAUUUGGAAAAUUGGAAAAAAAAAUGAAACAAUGAACAGGAAAAGUAAAGAGAAACCAAAAAUGAAAAACCUAAACAAACCCAAUAAACAAGAGAAAUAAAAAAACCAGACAAGAGGUUAUGAAAUCACAAGCAACAAACAAAUGCUAUAGACCUCCACCACUACUAGGCCACAGCCCACACCGCAUCGCCAAAGGUGAGCGCCUCGCAGUAGACAGAGACAUAGCAUUUGCGCAAAAUGACUACACACGUUGAACAAACUGUCCGCUUUCAUGCACUUUGGGUGGAGCUUAUCAUGGAGUGUGUAUCUUCAGUAAGCUAUAUGGUCCGGUUCAAUAAUACAGAAACUGAAGAAUUUGCUCCCACGAGAGGGCUCAGACAGGGUGGCCCAUUAUCACCUUAUUUAUUUCUCUUGUGCUCUGAGGGUCUUUCAAGCUUAUUAGCUCAUGAACAGGAAAUUGGAGGAGUGGAAGGGGUCCGUGUUUGUAGAAAUGCCCCCCUAUCUCACAUUUACUGUUUGCAGAUGACUCCUUGAUCCUAAUGAAGGCGGACUCACAUAAUGCAAGUACACUCAAAAGUGUUCUUGACACAUAUUGUGCUAGUUCUGGGCAACUAGUUAGUAAUGCUAAAUUGAGUAUAUUUUUUAGUCCUAAUACUAAUGUCAAUACCAGGGAGAAUGUGUGUAGAGAUUUAAAUAUUGAGACAGAAGCUCUAUCUGACACAUACUUAGGUCUCCCUACAAUGGUGGGAGUCGACAGAACUGACUGUUUCCAGCACUUGAUCGAUAGAGUUUGCCAGAGGUUGAAGGGAUGGAAGGAGAAGACACUCUCGAUGCAAGGUAAAGAGGUACUGGUAAAGUCGGUAGCCCAAGCAAUACCUUCUUAUGCAAUGUCAGUUUUUAAAUUGCCUAAAGGAAUUUGUAAGUCUAUCACCGAUGAAAUUGUUGGGUUCUGGUGGGGUGAGAAUGCGGAGAAAAACAAAAUGCAUUGGUUUGCAUGGUGGAGGUUGUGUAUUCCGAAGAAGGAAGGGGGUUGGGUUUUAGAGACUUGCACAGUUUUAAUCUUGCUAUGUUAGCAAAACAGUGUUGGCAACUAAUCCAAAAUCCGGAUUCUUUGUGUGCGCAAGUUCUGAGGGCAAAAUAUUACCCAGAUGGCGACAUAUUGAAAGCUGGACCAAAAAAGGGCUCUUCUUAUACUUGGCAGAGUAUUGUCGCAGGUAUUCAGACAUUUAAGUGGGGUUGUAUUUGGUGUGUUGGAAGUGGAUCUCAAAUUGAUAUCUGGCAUGAUCCAUGGAUUCCAUCAAGUGUCACAAGGAAAGUAAUCACGAAUAGGGGUGCAACAAUACUUUCAAAGGUUGAUGAGUUAAUAAAUCCGUACACAGGCCAGUGGGAUGAGGAUCUAAUUUGUGAUGUUUUCUCUCCUGUCGAUGUUCAUAGGAUAUUACAAAUCCCCUUGAAUUAUCACUUGACAGAAGACUUUGUGGCUUGGAACUAUACAUGAUCAGGCACGUUUUCCGUGCGAUCGGCUUAUCAUAAGGAGUUUGAACAUCAACAAGGGGCACAGUGGGUGCGAGCUGAUGGGCAAGGCACAGAAAAUAUAAAUCCAGUUUGGAAGGAUAUGUGGAAGCUGAAAAUACCAGGGAAGAUAAAACAUUUUGCAUGAAAAGUUUUGCAUGGCGCCCUCCCAUGCUUUGGUGUAUUAGCAAGCCAACAAAUCCCAUGCUCAUCUCAAUGUCCAAUUUGUUUAGUGGGAGCAGAAGACAUUCAACACUGCUUAUUUAAGUGCCGACGAGCGACGGAUGUUUGGGAGCGGCUGGGCUUGCUACAAGUCAUACGGAAAGCUGUGGCCGAGGACAGAUCAGGAUCUAUUACGAUGGAAAUUUUAUCAAAGCUUCAGGGCAAUGAUGCGGAGGUACCAACGGCGGAGCUUACUGUUGUAGCAGCAUGGUAUAUAUGGUGGCAGCGCCGACAGAUAGUAAAGAGAGUCAAAGUCCAAACGCCGGAAAAAACUGCGCUAGCCAUCAAGAUUUUGGCGACAAAUUACCUCAGGUCAGAUAUACCCAAAGGACCAAUAAGGAAGAAUGACCACAUGUGGAGGAAACCAGGAUAUGGGAUCGUGAAGAUAAAUGUUGAUGCUUCCUUUCAGUAUGAAACACUUUCAGGUGCUUGUGGUGCUGCGGCUCGGGACGACCGGGAUGAUUUUAUUGCUGCAGCAAGUUGGUUUGUUCCAAACAUCAGUGGAGUUGACUCAGCUGAGCUAACUGCUAUCAGAAACGGGAUAUACUUGGCAACUCACAUUGGAUGCAACAACAUAGAAAUUGAAUCAGAUUGUUCCUUCGCAGUGGACUCGCUGAACCAAGUUGAUGAUUAUUUAGGCCUGGAGGUAGCUAUCAUCACAAAGUGUAAACAACUUAUGAUGGACUUUGCGUCCAUAUCCUUCAGACAUUGCUAUAGAGAGGCCAAUCAGGUGGCAGAUGAAUUAGCAAAGAACUCUUUUACUACUGGAUCCUCUAGUUCUUGGGAUGAUGAGAUCCCUGAUUUUAUUUCUCAUCUGCUUGUAAAUGACAUGUCUAUUAUUUGAGAAAUAAAGUCUAUUUGCAGUUCAAAAAAAAACUGCCCGCUAGCUAGUUAUUAGAAAGGCAUGUAACUUAAUUCAAACUCAACAAAAUUAUAGGUACAAUGCUUUGGAUCAUAGAUACAAGAAAUUACAAAAUAACUCAUAUAACUAAGAAUUACAAUAAAACCCUCUUGAAUCAAAAUAUGAUAAACAGAGGAAAAAAAUUAGCACAUAUAAUCCUUACUCUAUCCAAAUAUAUGGCGGUGCUAAACUGAGCAGCCCCAUUAGUUUUGGAGCUCCGGCUCCAUGGAGUCCUUUUUGGAAAAUCAUACAUGCAUAACUAAACACCCGCAUGCAUGAGGCUGGAGAAUCAGGGCCAUGCAACAUCAAUAUAGGUUAAUUUGUCGGAGAGUUGUAAGAUUUAAUAAUUUAAGACAAUACGCAUAAUAAAAUCCCCACUAGUGAAGUGUCAAAAACCCUCUUAUAUUGUGGGACACAGGGAGUACAAUUUUAAAACUGUGCCCAGUAUACCGGACCAGAGGGAGAGCUUGAGAAAACACUGAGUCAGAAAAAACUUACUAAGCAGACCAUGGAGCCUUAGAGCAUCUCCAGUCGUGCCCCAGAACGGCCUCCCAAGGCGAUUUUUUUGCGCCGGUGCCAAAAAACGGUCCACUCGCGUCCUCAGGAGCCCGUUUUUCACUGACUUGGGCCGAAAUCAGCGUAGGCGGACCCAGGCCGAACCCGAUGCGUCUUGGGGGGGGGGCGCCCGGGGGCGCCGGGGCGAGUGUUUUGGCGCAAACAGCCGCGGGCCCGCCGAGUCAGCGAGACGGCCGCUUCGUCGACCUCAUCGCCUCGGUUCCCGCGGGAAUCAAUACAAAGGUUGUCGCGCCGGUCAGCCUUCAUUUGAUGCCUCACGGGCGACGGAGUGAAGACACCGCCGACGCGGGUCCCGCCCGCAUGCCGCCGCCCCGCCACCCCGCUUCGGCUAUAAAAGGCGCCCCCUUCCCGCCGGUGAGCGCAAUAGCCUCCCCCACUCCCUCCCGCGAAAGCCUUCUCCCCGCCGGCGAGCUCUCACGCCACUUCCCCCUGCCCGCCGACGAGCGAAACCAUGACGGAGAGAUACCCAGGCAACGGCGCAGCGGCAAAUGGCUUCGGCCGCCGGCACCUCCAGGAGCUGGAGGCGCGCCUUCUGUACGAGGCCGAGUACCCGGCGCCCCCCGACAUGCGCGUGUCGGGUUCGUGGAGGCUGAGCGUCGGAGGCGUCCCGGUGCCGCCGGUGCCCAAAGGGGCGGCAUGGCGGGCGGAGAUCGCCCGCAUCCACUCGUCGCUGACAGAGGAGCAGAGGAACGAGCCGAGGUACGCGCCCGAUAGCGAAACGCUGUGGACGUUGUACUUCGAGUGCCACCGCGAGGAGCAGAUCGCCUCCGUCAACGGCAUCAUCUCCCACGGCCGCCUCAACUCUGAAGGACGGCGUGAGUGGUGGGGCGUCCCCGACCGCACACUCGACGCCGUCGUCGACCACAUCGAGACUGACAAUGUGCCGCGGCUAGAGUACCCGGCGCGACCCUCCUUCUCUCGCCGCCGUGGCAGUUCCUGGAUGUCGCGGCGAAUGGAGCCGGGGUCGUCCUCGUCGUCGGGCUCCGGCUCGCCGACCCUCCGCCCCGCCAAGCCUGAGCCGGAGGGGGCACCGCUCGGGCGCCGCGCUCGCAGCAGCGCCCUCGUCAUCAACGAGCCCUCGCCUGCGGCGGCGCCGGCAAGGCGCUCCCUCCGCCUGGUCCGGCCGAAGCCCGAGCCGGAGAUGCUCCCCGUGAAGCCGGAGCACGCUGGCAUGGUGGCCCCCGACGACAAGUCCGCCCUCAAAUGGGUGAGGGAGGACUACGUCCGCGAACAGAUGCGCCACCAGCGUCGGGCGUACCUGGACACCCAGGCCAGUAGCCGCGCCGAGGCCCGUCGCCGCACCGAGGAGGGCGGCGUCAUCGUCAUCGACAGCGACGACGAGGACGAGGCUGGGCCGUCAAGCGCUGUCGGCGACCACGGCGAGGGAUGCAGCAGGGACGCUGCAGGCGAGGUGCGCGACGACGACGACGACGACGGCAGCGGCGGUGGCUACACCCACUUCUACAGGCUUCUCGGCAUAUAGACGGCGACUGUGGCGGCAGCGGCUAGGCUUUUUAGUUCGUUUUUAAGUUAGUUCAUGCAUGUUUUUAAGUUUUUGUACAAAUUUCGACAAAAAAAGGCCGAGUUCAUGCAAAAGUCGCCGAGGUUGCAAAAAAAUUAAAACGAGCUUCGCCGAACCCGCAGCGACCGUGGGCCUGUGACUGAGAGCGAACCGAACCCCAGGGGGCGAUCUAGCGCUGGCUCGCCCCCAUGCCGGUCUUUUGCAGCACCCUGGGGGCCGAACGGCUGGAGAUGCUCUUAGGGCUUCCAACAGGCUCCAGCGAGUUCCUUUCCAGAGAACUUUGUUUCUUGUAUCUCCACGUGGUGAAGCUCACGCACGAGGUGGCUGCACGAUCGGGUCAGUUCCUUUCCGGAGACCUUUCCUUUCCAUUGUGAAUUGAACUGAAGCGAUUGCUUUUUUACUUUGUAUUGCAUUGCACAAAGGUGUACACAUGCUUGAGGUUGCAUGCUUGAUCUGGAGACUCCCCCUCCUCCUCCCCCUCCCUCCCCCGUGCGGCAGCGCCGCCCCGCACCGGGGAGCCCCUGCCCUCCUCCUACAGCCGCGCCUCACCUCUGCUCCCCUCCGCCGUCGUCGCCCGGGGCGUCACAGGGCAAAGCCCUUAUGGCGUGGCGGCGACGGCGGUUUUCUCCUUGGAUCUUGAUCUGGUUGGGAGGCGGCGCUCCUUUCCGGCCAGAUCGGCGGCGGUGGCGCAGAUCGGCGGCGACACGGAUGUGGUACGGUGGCGGUGGAGGACGGCACCAGCAACGGCGGAUCUGGCCUUGACUCAGUCGGGCUAAUUCGUUGUGCUACCGAUCUUAAUCACCGUCUGCGGUGCACUGCUCCUCGACUUGAUCUGCAACACGAGGAUGUCUGGGGCGCCGACCCUAGGCUUGGUGGUGGUGGCCUUCUUCUUCAUCGGAGUUGGUCGGUCGGUUGGCUGUGCUUGCAUGGUCAUGGCGGCGGAGGUCGCAGUGGCUAGUGGCUUAGCCGGUCAGCGGCGACGGAACAUGGCCGGUGGCAGCGGCAAUGUUCUGUCUGGAUCCCCGGGUAGUGGCCCUGGAUGGUGGCGGCCGGUGAAGCUAGGGCUUCCCGCGGCGGCAUGGUGUGGUGCAGUCCCUGUCCAAGGCAGAUCUGUGACGGCGAUCUGAUCUACGGAUUGGUUCGGAUCAGAGACGGUGACGAGCACGGGAUCCAUCUCGGAGGCUCCCGCGGCUUAGCGAGGCGGGGUAGGAGCCCUCCUCCUAGGCUCUAGUGGUGGCACACUUAGGCAGUGGCCGGUGCGCUAGGGCUCCUACGGCGGCACUGUUGUUGCGGUUGGUCGCCGGAUCUAGGCGGCUAGAUCUAGGGUUCUGAGGGCGGUCGAGACGAUGCACAGGUUGUCAGGUGGACUACUUGUGAUGGAUCCGGGUGAAAACCUGGUCUUCAGUCGAUGGUCGGAGCCGGUGAUGACGAUGCCCUUAUCAUUGUUUUCUUCAUGAAGGCAUCAUCGAGGUGAAGCUCCCAGCUCCACUCAAUACCUCCGGGGAAACCCUAGAUCAGCUGAUUGGAUGUUGGCAGCAAUCAUGUGUCGUUACCCCCUUGGGGGCGGCAUUCUUGGAGGUGCACUCGUUCUUGCGGGACCAGCGGACGGCUUCUUUGGUGGAGCGGUGCUUCAUCCUGCACAUUGAUGGCGACGGAUCUCGGCGACGUGGCGCAGUGCAGAUUCGGCGUUCGAUGUGUUAGGAUGGACUCACGCAGGAGGACAACGUUGUCUGGCGUCGUGGUGGCGUCGAUGGCAGAGAGACCUGGCACGGUAGAUGCAACAGUACAACUCUAAAGAUGGACUGGUGGCAGGUGGCUGCGGCGGCUCAUACCCGGCAGGCGUCCUGGUUGAGGAAUGCGCCGGACUUGUAGGUGCCCCAUAUCCGGCAGGCGUCCUGCUUGGGACCGCAGGUCUUAGAUGUUUAGGUUUGACUGCGAGGUCUGUUUGGUAUUAGGUCCAGACUAUCAGCAUCCUUUCAUCAACUGGAUAGGAGUAGCGACAGAUAUUGCCUAGACGGUGGCUUUAGUCUUACUGUUGUAUGACUUUGUAAGGUCUUGUGUGAAUAAUUAAUAAAAUGAUUGCAUGCAUCGUCCAGAUGCAGAGGCCGGGGGCCCUCCUCCAUUUCUAAAAAAACAAAGAUGUACACUGUCUAUCUUAAUUUCUAAAUGAUGGCCGGUCACAUGGACGUGUGAGCAGGGGAUUGACAAGGCAACUAGCAGAAUUCUAUUACUACGAGGAGGCAACUGAUAAAGUAAAAAUAUUGUUACUCACCCUACUAUCAUCAGAUGGAGACACGCACGCAGAAUCCACUGGACAAGGCGACUAACAUAAUUCUAUUACCACGAGGAUGCAACUAAUAGAGUAAAAAUAUUGUUACUCACACGUACUACCACCACAAAAGACACACACGCAGAAUCCAGCUGUACUUAUUAACACGUCUAGCUACCUACGUGUGGUUUCUUCAUUUGUAAUCAACUAAUCAACCAAUAUAACUCCACCGACAUGUUAUACAGUACUACUUGUCACUCCAGCUAGGUAACUGCAAUGCUAAUUAAUGCAGCCUCCAGAUCUGGUUUGUUUCACCCAGCCUAUAAAACCACACAAUAUGUACCUUCAGUUCUCACACAACACACACACACAAAGCACAGCAGGUGCAACACUAACUGCAAGCACAAGAAGUAGGCAGCAAUGACGAAGCAUCGCCUCCUCGCCGUGCUCCUCAUCGGGAUAGUUGCAGCCUCCUCUUUCAACCAAGCAGCUACGGCUGGCCGAGGCCUUGCUGUUGUUGAGAAGUUCGCAGAGCUAGAGCCAAAGCCAGAACCCAAACCAGAGCCAAUGCCCAAACCUAUGCCACACCCAGAGUCAGAGCCCUGCAAACCUGAACCGCUGCCCAAACCCGAACCAAAGCCUGGACAGAAACCUGAACCAGAACCCAAGCCCAAGCCGAUGCCAAAACCAAAGCCAAAGCCCAAGCCCUGCUCCAAACCGAAGCCCGAUCCUAAGCCCGAGCCAAUGCCGAAACCCGAACCAAAGCCGGAGCCCAAGCCUAAUGAACCGAAACCGAAGCCGCCUCCUAAGUGCAAACCACCGACAGCUCACAACUAAUGGGAUACUUGUAUAUGACAGUUGAUGGAGGAGACCCCAUACGGAGCCACACUGUGCUAUUUCUAGAAUACGUGGUGUAGUAUUCCCUGUAUUCCAUUUAUUUGUAUUGUUCCAUGCAUGUGUGAUGAGUAUUAGUACUCUGUACUUAUUAUUUGCUUGUUGGUAUAUGUUCAUCUACUUUGUAUGUGACUUGACUCGUUGUUCUUUUGAGUAUCUACGCAUGAUGGUAUUCAUUUUCAUGAAUGAGCUAUUUUGUCAGUGAUCUGCAGUCUAUGUUGUUUUCUCUAUGGCGUGCAGUCUCAGUUAUUUUCUCUAUAGGAUUGUUUCAUUAUUAUGUGGUCUUUUUUGGCGGAAAAGAUGAUGUCAACAAAAGGGAAGAGAAGGCCUCCUAAAUAGCAGCACACAUAUGAAGUGUAUAGUGUGCACGUACGUGUCUGGUGUUCUAGGUGUCUAAAGUGUACUCAUACGCCAGACAGCGGUUUUGUUCUCUACCCUUCGCCUAUGAACUAAGUCCCGACCAGGUGCGUUAGUAUUUAUACCCAGGCUCUACGAGUGAGCUGGCUCCGUUGCUAGUUAUUCUAGGUAAACGUCACACACAUUGCUACGGAAAUUUAAAGCAAUGAAAUUAUAAAAAAUAGCAUAUAUGUGAAUAAUACCAUACAACAUUCUCAACGUAUGACAAUAGAAAACCUAGAUGUAACUGGAGGGUGGAUGCAUGUUAUAUUGUCUUGUGACCUUCAAGUUUAAUUAUUUGUUGUUGAAAGAUAAUAAAUAGUAAAAAUAAUGAGGUGAAGAGCUUGCGUGUGUUUCCUGAUGUGGAGGGCUUGCAUAUGAUGGAAAGUGAAAAGUUGAAUGAUUACAUGCACCCCUGAUGAUGUGGAGGACUUGCAUGUGAUGAAAAAUGGUAAGUGAAAGUUGAUUGGUUGCAUGUCCUUCAUGAUGUGAUUAAUUUUCACGUGCAUUUAAAUUUGAUGACUUACUUAGAUAUAUAGGAUAUAUGUGUGAAAGGUAACUGCACCCCCCCCCCUCUGGUAUACACUCCCUCCGUUCCAAAAUAGAUGACUCAACUUUGUACUAACUUUAGUACAAAAGUAGUACAAAGUUGAGUCAUCUAUUUUGGAACGGAGGGAGUAUGUGUGAAAGGUAAUUGCACCCCCUGGUCAAGAGAUUAGUGGCGGAACUACCCGCAAAAUAUUGGGCAGGCCGAGGCGGCCCAUCCUGAAGGAAAACACAUUUUUAUCUCUCAAACACUAGUAGAAAAGGGGGCAUUGGUCCAGGCCGGGUCAGCGCUUUAGUCCCGGUUCAAUCCAGAACCGGGACCAAUGGGGGCAUUGGACCCGGUUCGUGAGCCCCGGGGGCCGGCCGGGCCACGUGGGCCAUUGGUCCCGGUUCAUCUGGACCUUUUGGUCCCGGUUGGUGGGACGAACCGGGACCAAUGUGCCUUGCUCCUGGCCCACCACCACUGGUCCCGGUUGGUGGCAUGAACCGGGACCAAAGGCUUCCCUUUCGUCCCGGUUCAAGCCACGAACCGGGACCAAUUAAUUGCCUAUAUAUACCCCUCGCCCGCGAGCAGAGCACUCUCACUGCUCUGUUUUUCGUGGACGGCGAGGAGAGAGCUUUGUGGUGCUCUAGCUCACCUCCUAUGCACACGAGGUGUUUGAUGGAAUGCCCGAGGCACACUACUUAAGCUUUCUCCUCUCCAAGCUCGACCUCCAAGCUCCAUUUUCCUCAAUAUUUGUCUACGUUUAGCGGUCCGUCACGUCCCGUCCCCGUCUUCACCGUCGUCGAUCGCCCGCGCUGAUCUCGUCGCCGGCACCACCGUGGUGAGCCUCUUGUUCUUAUCUUCUUUCUGAAAGGAAAAAAAAUUCUUACUUGUAUGUUUAUAUAGAUACUUGUAUAAUUUUCUUACUUUUAUUAUUGCAUCUUAUAUAGUGCGAUGGUUUUGGUAUCCGCCCCCGUCGGUCCUCAUCCUGUCUAUGAUUCGGAUGUGGUAUAUAUUAUCUUUUCAUAACUAUUGGUUCAUCUAUUGUUUAUGACAAUUAUGCCGACCAACGUGACAUAGAUUUUAUUUAUCUAGGAGGUUGUUGAACCGGAAAUUCCAACCGACCCUAUUGUCGAGAGGUUAAAUUUAGUUGAAGAAGAAAACAGUUUCUUGAAGGAAAAAAUAGAAAAAUUGAGGAGGAGAAGAUGAUAUUGGAGUUGCAUGUUGCGGAUGUCGUGGAUGAUCACAAGAUCAAGAUGGAUGCAAUGCGCUUGAAGAUUAGAAAAAUUAGAAAAUAUGCCAUUCAUACCGAGGCUUGGUAUCAUUAUGCCGUUGGAUCAGUUGUUACAUUGGUUGCGAUUAUGAUUGCAUUUGUUUUCGCAUUGAAAUGUUUUACAUAGUUUCAAUGUAUGGUUUAAUUAAUUUACAUGCUCUGCAGAGCUUUAUGUUGUUAGAUGAGAACUAUGUAUGUACUUUGGUUUUAAUGUGAUGAUGAACUUCUAUUAAUUUGGUCACUUAAUUAUCUAUUCAUGAUGUUCUGUAAUGAUUUUUGACACACUUGAUUAUAUAUAAUGCACGCAGAUGAACCGGCAAUGGAUGUACGGUUCAAGACACACCUCCGAGUACAUUAAGGGCGUGCAUGAAUUUCUCGAAGUGGCUGAGGCAAACAAGCAGAAUGGUUUUAUGUGUUGUCCAUGCCCUAUAUGUGGAAAUACAAAGUCUUACUCUGACCGGAAAAUCCUUCACACCCACCUGCUUUACAAGGGUUUCAUGCCACAUUAUAAUGUUUGGACGAGGCACGGAGAAAUAGGGGUUAUGAUGGAGGACGGUGAAGAAGAAAAGUACGAUGACAACUAUGUGCCCCCUGAAUACGUGAUGCUACUGAAGAUCAAGAGGAACCAGACGAUGUGCACGAUGAUGCUGCAACAGGCGAAGCUGCUAAAGAUCAAGAGGAACCAGACGAUGUGCCCGAUGAUGAUGAUCUCCGCCGGGUCAUUGUCGAUGCAAGGACGCAAUGCGAAAGUCAAAAGGAGAAGCUGAAGUUCGAUCGCAUGUUAGAGGACCACAAAAAAGGGUUGUACCCCAAUUACGAAGAUGGCAACACAAAGCUCGGUACCGUACUGGAAUUUCUGCAGUGGAAGGCAGAGAAUUUUGUGCCUGACAAAGGAUUUGAGAAGCUACUGAAAAUAUUGAAGAAGAAGCUUCCAAAGGAUAACGAAUUGCCCGACAGUACAUACGCAGCAAAGAAGGUCGUAUGCCCUCUAGGAUUGGAGGUGCAGAAGAUACAUGCAUGCCCUAAUGACUGCAUCCUCUACCGCGGUGCGUACAAGGAUCUGAACGCAUGCCCGGUAUGUGGUGCAUUACGGUAUAAGAUCAAGCGAGAUGACCCUGGUGAUGUUGACGGCGAGCCCCCCAGGAAGAGGGUUCCUGCGAAGGUGAUGUGGUAUGCUCCUAUAAUACCACGGUUGAAAUAUCUGUUCAGAAACGGAGAGCAUGCCAAGUUGAUGUGAUGGCACAGUGAGGACCGUAAGAAAGACAGGAAGUUGAGAGCACCCGCUAACGGGUCGCAGUGGAGAAAAAAUCGAGAGAAAGUACUGGGAUGAGUUUGCAAGUGACCCAAGGAACGUAUGGUUUGCUUUAAGUGCGGAUGGCAUUAAUCCUUUCGGGGAGCAGAGCAGCAAUCACAACACCUGGCCCGUGACUCUAUGUAUGUAUAACCUUCCUCCUUGGAUGUGCAUGAAGCGGAAGUUCAUUAUGAUGCCAAUUCUCAUCCAAGGCCCUAAGCAACCCGGCAACGACAUUGAUGUGUACCUAAGGCCAUUAGUUGAAGAAUUUUUACAGCUGUGGAAUGGAAACGGUGUACGUACGUGGGAUGAGCACAAACAGGAGGAAUUUCACCUAAAGGCGUUGCUGUUCGUGACCAUCAACGAUUGGCCCGCUCUCAGUAACCUUUCAGGACAGACAAACAAGGGAUACCACGCAUGCACGCACUGUUUACUUAACACCGAUAGUAUAUACCUAGGAAGCUGCAGGAAGAAUGUGUACCUGGGCCAUCGUCGAUUUCUUCCGACCAACCAUCAAUGUCGAAAGAAAGGCAAGCAUUUCAAAGGCGAGGCAGAUUACCGGAGGAAGCCCGCCAUGCGUACCAGUGUCACGUACUUGCUAUGGUCAAUGAUUUACACGUAAUCUUUGGAAGGGGUCCCGACGGACUAGCUGUUCCGAGUGACGCUGGGGGACACGCACCCAUGUGGAAGAAGAAAUCUAUAUUUUGGGACCUACCCUACUGGAAAGACCUAGAGGUCCGCUCUUCGAUCGACGUGAUGCACGUGACGAAGAACCUUUGCGUGAACCUGCUAGGCUUCUUGGGCGUGUAUGGGAAGACAAAAGAUACAGCUGAGGCACGGGAGGACCUGCAACGUUUGCACGAAAAAGACGGCAUGCCUCCAAAGCAGUAUGAAGACCCUGCCAGCUAUGCUCUUACCAAAGAAGAGAAGGAAAUCUUCUUUGAAUGUCUGCUUAGUAUGAAGGUCCCGACUGGCUUCUCGUCGAAUAUAAAAGGAAUAAUAAAUAUGUCAGAGAAAAAGUUUCAGAACCUAAAGUCUCAUGACUGCCAUGUGAUUAUGACGCAACUGCUUCCGGUUGCAUUGAGGGGGCUUCUACCGGAAAACGUCCGAUUAGCCAUUGUGAAGCUAUGUGCAUUCCUCAAUGCAAUCUCUCAAAAGGUGAUUGAUCCAGAAAUCAUACCAAGGCUAAGGAGUGAUGUGGUGCAAUGUCUUGUCAGCUUCGAGCCGGUGUUCCCACCAUCCUUCUUCAAUAUCAUGACGCACGUCCUAGUUCAUCUAGUUGACGAGAUUGUCAUUCUGGACCCCGUAUUUCUACACAAUAUGUACCCCUUUGAGAGGUUCAUGGGAGUCCUAAAGAAAUAUGUCCGUAACCGCGCUAGGCCAGAAGGAAGCAUCUCCAUGGGCCAUCAAACAGAGGAUGUCAUCGGGUUUUGUGUUAACUUCAUUCCUGGCCUUAAGAAGAUAGGUCUCCCUCAAUCGCGGUAUGAGGGGAGACUGACUUGAAAAGGCACGCUUGGAAGGGACUCAAUAAUAUGCAGGGACGGAUAUUCUUGGUCUCAAGCACGCUACACAGUUCUAUAGAACUCUACCUUGGUGACCCCGUAUGUCGAUGAACAUAAGAACAGUCUGCGCUCCAAACACCCGGAGCACUGCGACGACUGGAUUACAUGUGAACACAUCAGGACUUUUAGUAGUUGGUUGGAAGCACGUCUCAGAGGUGACAACACUGUUUGUGAUGAGCUGUACUUGUUGUCCAGGGGACCAUCUUCGACUGUUACGAUUUGGAAAGGAUACGAGAUAAAUGGGAAUACAUUUUACACGAUUGACCAAGAUCAAAAGAGCACCAACCAAAACAGCGGUGUCCGCUUUGAUGCAACAACCGAGAGGGGAAAGGACACAUAUUAUGGUUACAUAGUGGACAUAUGGGAACUUGACUACGGACAUGAUUUUAAGGUCCCUUUGUUUAAGUGCAAAUGGGUCAAUCUGUCAGGAGGCGUGGUACAGGUAGACUCACAGUACGGAAUGACAACAGUGGAUCUGAAAAAUCUUGGGUACAGUGAUGAACCGUUCGUCCUAGCCAAUGAUGUGUCACAGGUUAUCUAUGUGAAGGACAUGUCUACCAGACCGAGAAAAAGAAAAGAUAAGGAAGCGAAUACAUCAUACGAUGAGCCAAAGUGCCACAUAGUUCUUUCAGGAAAAAGGGACAUCGUGGGAGUGGAGGGCAAGACAGACAUUUCUGAAGAUUAUAAAAAGUUUCAUGAAAUUCCUCCCUUCAAAGUCAAGGCUGACCCCAGCAUCCUGAUAAGCGAUGAAGAUUAUCCAUGGUUACGGCGCAAUAAGCAAAUGACACAAGCGAAGAAAAAGUGAAGACUUUCUCCCGCAACUAUUAUGAUGAUACCAUGCCAACUUUGUAACACACGAGUAUGAUACCAUUGUCCAUUUUGUACAUGCACAUGCUAUAUAUGUGGGUGAAUUUAUGAUACCAUGCCAACUUUCAACUUUUUCAUAUUUCAUUAGAAACAAAGCAAGAAAAAAACAAAAAAACAAAAAAAAGUGUUUUCAAAUUUGGAAAUUAAUGGCACUAAUAGAAAGUUUAUAAUUUUUCUAAAACUAAAAGCAAAAAGAAUUAAAAAAUAAAGCAAAAAACAAAAGAAAAUAAAUAAUGCAGAAUACAAAACAAAAAAACAAUUAAAAAUAGCAACAAUAAGUAUUUUGUUGUAAGUAGAAACAAAAUAAAAUAAAUAAAGCAAGAAAGAAAACAAAAAAACAAAAAAGUGUUUUCAAAUUUGAAAACUAAUGGCACUAAUAGAAAGUUUAUAAUUUUUCUAAAACUAAAAGCAAAAAGAAUUAAAAAAUAAAGCAAAAAACAAAAGAAAAUAAAUAAUGCAGAAAACAAAACAAAAAAGCUGGAAAAUAAUUAAAAAUAGCAACAAUAAGUAUUUUGUUGUAAGUAGAAACAAAAUAAAAUAAAUAAAGCAAGAAAGAAAACAAAAAAAAUGCCUCCUACUGGGCCCCCACGGCCUGAAUACGACUAGAAACCCUACCAUGGGCCAGGAUUCAGGCCCGCAGUAGGCACAGAAGGCCCAUCAGGCAAAGCAGUAGCAAUUAGGCCCGCAAGCCUACGGUGGAGAGGAGCUCGAGAGGGGUGCUGCAGUGGGGUUUAUAAACCACUGCGCGCCCCUCUCAACUAGCAAGGUGGGACUAAACUUUGGCCCCGACACGGGCAGCACAGGGUCCUUUGGUCCCGGUUGGUGGCACCAACCGGGACUAAAGGGCCUUUAGUCCCGGUUGGUGCCACCAACCGGGACCAAAGGUCGCCGCUUCCCGCCCUUUGGCUGCUGAAAAGAGGCCUUUGGUCCUGGUUGGUGGUACCAACCGGGACUAAAGGGGGCAUUAGUCCCGGUUGGCCUCACGAACCGGGACUAAUGCCCUUGAUAUAUAUACAGCACUUAGGAAAAUUUGACGAACACAUCGCUAGUUGCCCCCGGCCCGCCCGACGACGCCGAGCUCAUCGACGCCGCCAGGCUGCCCAGAUCGACGCCGUCCGCUGCCCCGACGCCGCCCACCGCCCAGACGUUGUCCGCGCGCCGCCCCGACGCCGUCCGCGCGCCCCCGNNNNNNNNNNNNNNNNNNNNNNNNNNNNNNNNNNNNNNNNNNNNNNNNNNNNNNNNNNNNNNNNNNNNNNNNNNNNNNNNNNNNNNNNNNNNNNNNNNNNNNNNNNNNNNNNNNNNNNNNNNNNNNNNNNNNNNNNNNNNNNNNNNNNNNNNNNNNNNNNNNNNNNNNNNNNNNNNNNNNNNNNNNNNNNNNNNNNNNNNNNNNNNNNNNNNNNNNNNNNNNNNNNNNNNNNNNNNNNNNNNNNNNNNNNNNNNNNNNNNNNNNNNNNNNNNNNNNNNNNNNNNNNNNNNNNNNNNNNNNNNNNNNNNNNNNNNNNNNNNNNNNNNNNNNNNNNNNNNNNNNNNNNNNNNNNNNNNNNNNNNNNNNNNNNNNNNNNNNNNNNNNNNNNNNNNNNNNNNNNNNNNNNNNNNNNNNNNNNNNNNNNNNNNNNNNNNNNNNNNNNNNNNNNNNNNNNNNNNNNNNNNNNNNNNNNNNNNNNNNNNNNNNNNNNNNNNNNNNNNNNNNNNNNNNNNNNNNNNNNNNNNNNNNNNNNNNNNNNNNNNNNNNNNNNNNNNNNNNNNNNNNNNNNNNNNNNNNNNNNNNNNNNNNNNNNNNNNNNNNNNNNNNNNNNNNNNNNNNNNNNNNNNNNNNNNNNNNNNNNNNNNNNNNNNNNNNNNNNNNNNNNNNNNNNNNNNNNNNNNNNNNNNNNNNNNNNNNNNNNNNNNNNNNNNNNNNNNNNNNNNNNNNNNNNNNNNNNNNNNNNNNNNNNNNNNNNNNNNNNNNNNNNNNNNNNNNNNNNNNNNNNNNNNNNNNNNNNNNNNNNNNNNNNNNNNNNNNNNNNNNNNNNNNNNNNNNNNNNNNNNNNNNNNNNNAUAUAAUGUUCAUAGCAUUUUUUUUAUUUAUAUAUGUUUUUUCAUAGAUGUAUUAAUUUUUUAUUUAGGUUGUUAGUAGAUAUCGAUUUUAGGUUAGUGCAUUUUAAUUAGGUUAGUGUAGAGGAAAAAGUAAAAUAAGGAAAAGGAAGAAAAGAGGAAGAAGGAAGAAGAAGAAGAAAAAGAAUGAGAGGGAAAAGGAAAAUAAGAAGAGGAAGAAAGGAGAAGAAGAGGAGAGGAAAAGAAGAGGAGAAAUAAAUAAGAAGAAAAAAAAGAAGAAAAAGAAGAGGAGAAGAAGAAAGGAAUAGAGGAGAAGAAGAAAAAAUAGAAAAAAUUCUAAUUUUUUUUUCUUCUCCUCCUCUUUUUUUUCUUCUUUUUUUCUUCGAUCUUCUCCUCUAUUCCUUUCUUCUUCUCCUCUUUUUAUUUCUUCUUUGUUUUCUUAUGUUUUAUCGGGUCUGUCGCCGUCAGGCUGCUCGCCUUCGCCCUCGCCGCCCCCUCGAGAUAACUUCGACAUGAGGGGCGGUCGAUAUAUAUACCCCCUCUCGACCGUGAUAACCUAUACAACGGCAGCACCCCCCUCGGCCCUCUCGCUCGACCAAAACUCUCGAGGCCACCCAAAUUUACCAAGUUAAAAGAGCGUUGUCGUCGAGGCCACCCCUAACCCUUGAAGCGUUGUGUCGAGGCGAUCCCAAACCCUAGAGAAGCAGCGUCGAGGCCACUAACAUGAUUCCUUAUUGUGAUUAGCUAGCUAGUUCUACGUUUGCCACUAAUAUAUAUCCAUCUGUACCAUGUUUGAAUAAUAAUUGACAUGUUGUAAAUAUUUGCAGAAACUAUGGAGCACUACCGAGACGAAGCACUAGAAGCGAUGUUGGGGGAGAUGAUCGCAGAAGGAACUGAUGUCAUUGCGUCAUUUUUCAACGACGUCGUUGGUCAGGAAGGACUGGGUGAAGAAGAGGGCUAUGUUCAUGAUGGCUCCGGCUCAUUAAUGCCGGUACAAGAAGAGGGCUAUGUUCAUGAUGGCUCCGGUGAUGACCCAAUGGAGGUACAAGAAGGAGACCGUGCUGACUACUCCGGUGACUGAACCGAGUCCAGCCAGGUAUAUAUAUAGUAGUUAAGCCCGUGCUGACUAGUUAAUUAAUGCAUUCAUUGUUUUGGUAUAUGUACAUAUAUUAAUUAUUCUCGGCUUUCUUCCUUUUAAUUUCUAGCCCUCCGGAUCGAGCACAACUUCGGUAAGGAGACGAGGCCCGAAGAAAAAGUUGAGCUCGGAUGAAAGGUUUGAGAUCAUAGAAAUCGCGCCCGACGGCGAACCGAUUGAACCCAUCCGGACAAAGAACGCAUUUUCUGCUCAGUGCGGGGUUCUUGUUAGGGACAAGAUCUCAAUCAGCAUCCAGCAAUGGUAUAAGCCUAAGGACGACCCUGAGGUGUCUUAUGUCAAUGAUAUGCAGAAAGAAGGUCUUUGGACUCAGCUGAAGGCAAAUUUCACCCUACCGCCAGAGGAGGAUCCGGAGAAGCCAGUUAAAGAGCAAUUAAUCAAGUCGUCUGCUCUUAAGAAGAUGGCAACCCUAUUCAGGAGGUGGAGGAAAGAGUUGAAUCAUUUUGUCGGAAAAAAAAGACACCAGAAUUCAUCGGCAAAUAUGAGAAGAUCAAAGAUCACUGGCCCGCAUUUGUGGCCCACAAGACAUCGGAAAAGAGUAAGAAGAUGUCGGCGACGAACAAGCAAAAUGCUGCGAAGAAGAAGCUUCACCAUCGCACGGGGUCAGGUGGCUACCUCAAAGCCCGGCCUAAGUGGUCCAAGGAGGAGAAUGAUCUGCUUGAAAAAGGGAUCGAACCAGAGAUAAUGAGAUGGCCAGACUGUUGCCGGACUUGGUUCUUCAGGGCUGGCGGAACCUUGGACCCUGUAUCAGGGAUGUGCCGUUGGACGGACGAGCAACUGGAAAUACCAGUCAAGAACCUUCGACACUAUAUCAAUGCAGCGCAGAAAGGGACGUUCGUACCAGACAGGGAGAAGGACGAGCUCACAAUGGCCCUCGGGAAUCCUGAGCACCCUGGACGGACACGAGGCACGACAGGCUCCAUUCCAUGGAAGGUUGGUUUUCCGGACGCAGGGGGUUACAAAACCCACGAGAGGAGGAAGAAACUGGAGCAGGGCCAACUGCAGGCGCUGCACGAAAGGGUAAUGGGGCUAGAGGAACGAGAAGAGGAACGAGAAGCAGCAGAUCGCAGCAAAUGACCUACCGAAGCUUCCCCCGAAGCUACCCCGCCAUCUCAGCGGAGAAGCGGCGUGGCUUCCAUCGAGCUUCUUCAGCCGGAGCAUGUCUUGACGGCUCCUGCCAGCUAUCCCGUGGAUGCUAUCAUGGAGUCUCAACAUUGCCACAUUAUGGCGCGAUGGAUGAAUUUGAAGGUCAAGGCGGCUGUUGGCUCUGUUUAUCCUAGUGGAUCCGGAGCAACUUAUCACUGCCGGCCGAUUCCAGAAGGAUAUGCUAAGGUGAUGGUGGAUAAAAUAACGGAGGGAUUUGAGGACCUCGUGCUUGACCACCCUACCGGUGAAGGGGAGACUAGGAUGGGUUCUGCUCUGAAGACUCCAUGCCUAUGGCGGAAGGAGCUCAUCAACCUUCCGAACUGGACGCCUCUGCCUCCUCCUCCUCCUCCUCCGGCGAGUCAGGGCACUCCGCCUCCUCCUCCGGCGAGUGACGAUCAGGGAACGCGUGGCGGCACUCCACCUCCUUCUCCGACGCGUGGCGGCACUCCGCCUCCUUCUUCGCCUGUGCCGGCGCUCCCGAGCAGCCAGCAGCCUCCUCCUUCUCCGCCUCGCCAGCAAGGGCGGAAGAGACCCGCCGCCGCCCCGGCUGCUCUGGCGCGUCGUACUCCUUCUCCUCCGCCUCGUAAGCAAGCACGAAAGAAGACAGACACCGCAGCCGCUCCGUCUGCUCCGAUGUCUAGCAGCACAACCAGAGGCGGGAGGCAAUACAGAUACGGUCCACCUCUCAAGCCUCUAGAGAAGUUACCAUACGAGAGGACCGAGGAGGAAAACGAUAGAAUUGGGCGGACCCACGUGAAGGAGUUCUUUGAAGGGGUGAAAGCAAAUAGACAUCCACCUCCGGAGGAGAAGGUAGAUCUGGUGAAAGCAAAGCGCACUAUCGAUACCCUGAGGAAACCACCAAAGUCUCCGCCGAGAACCAACUAUGAGCGCAUUACUGAACAGACAUAUCUCCAAGCCCAGCGGUCGGGAACUACUGUCAGUGCUAAAAGGUUAAAAGAACAAGCAAAGGGGAAAAAAUUGCCCAGCUCGGCGAACAAGCACAGCAAUCGUGCCCCCCUCUCAAUGUGUCUAAUGCUCCGGAGACGGUGGCCGGUUAUGGCAAUCUUGCAGAUUACCUGCCUGACGAUCAACUUCCUGAUUUCUUGGAGGUGGACGAACACAGAUACGAGUACGGGAAGCCUCUCGUCAAAGAUGAAAAAUCUCUGACAACAAUGAUGCGAAGAUUCCAUAAUUGGUACAUGGAAACCUGCAGAGAGUCUGGGGGUACGAAUGCUUUGUAUCUGAAUAUUAAAGAGGAGCACGACCUCGUUGCAAAUGAUCUGUUGACUGUUCCAUUUGAUGAGUUCUUCGCGUUCUUCAAUCAAAAGGCCCUCGAUAAACUAAUGGUCUUUUGCUACUGUCUGUAAGUACUAUUUCUGUCAUUAAGUCUCUAUAUAUAGCUCGUCUCUUUCAUUUCAUGUAUUUAUAAUUAAUUAUCCUCAAUAUAUUAUGCAGACUGAAGAUCGUCGAGUGCAAAAAAUAAGAAAUUUAUGAUAUUGGGUUUAUUAACACAAAUAUCAUAGAUGAAUUUCUGGUUAAAAAGGACGUCAAAGAGGCCGAGGACAACUUGCUACAAUCGUUGAUCAAAAAUCAAAACAAAGAUACCAUACUCUUUCCUUACAACGGCAAGUGAGUGUUACUGUCGUGUGCAUAUUCGGUUUCCCUUAUUACUCGAGCGAGGUUAUAGUAAUGUAAUUAAUGAGUUAUGCAUGCGUGCGCAGGUACCACUAUAUUCUUCUGGAGAUUAAGCUUGAGCGUGGACUAGUAACCGUCUUAGACUCGAGACGGAAAGAUCCCAAAACCUAUGCGGACAUGACUGAAAUGCUCAGCAAGUAAGUUCAAUCGAUCAUUAUCGCACCAUAUCGGCAACUUUUUGUUCAUUUCCUGAUAUCUCAAGUAAUAAUAAUUAUUUUCUUUGUCUUGCAGGGCUUGGAAACAGUUCACCGCACAAGCUCCGGGACUGCCGAAGGAGCUGCGAUAUACAUACCCGAAAGUAAGUACUACUGGCUAGCUAGUUGCGCGCAUCUCCCGUUGAUUCUAUAGCUAUACUUUCAUCAAUGCCAUUUAUAAUGCUUCAUUAUCAGUUUGAUUGACCUCUAUUUCUCGUAAAGUGCUUGUGGCAGGAAGAAGGGAAUGAUUUCUGUGGAUAGUACGUGUGCGAGUUCAUCCACAACGCGACUUUGAAAAACAAGUGGGGCUACUCUCAAAGAUAAUAUGAAGUGUGUAAGCAAUAAUAUUCACAAUUUAAUUUUAUUACACCAUCAUUUCUGUUGAGUUUCAUUCAUAUAUAUGUAUUAAUUAACCCCCUUCUUCAAAUUAGACGUGGCAGAUGCGGAAUGAACUCCUAGAACCAGAUCGCAUGAAAGCAAUUCAAGAGGAAUUGGCGGGAUUCUUUGUUGACCACGUCAUCAAUAAAGCCGGAGAAUACCAUGUGGAAAUUGAUUUCAAUUGCUAGGGGAUUGUAAUUAAGAGAUCUUAUACAUAUUGUACAUGUAUGUAGCCAGUAGCGUCGGAUACAUGAUAUACGAAAACUUGUUGUUCGACCAAUCUCUCGGAGAAGGAGAGGUCGAUCGAUCACUUCUCUCGGUAUGCAUGACGAACUUCUGUACUCAAUGGUUCUCUCGAUCACUUAUGUAUAUAUAGUACGUAGCNNNNNNNNNNNNNNNNNNNNNNNNNNNNNNNNNNNNNNNNNNNNNNNNNNNNNNNNNNNNNNNNNNNNNNNNNNNNNNNNNNNNNNNNNNNNNNNNNNNNNNNNNNNNNNNNNNNNNNNNNNNNNNNNNNNNNNNNNNNNNNNNNNNNNNNNNNNNNNNNNNNNNNNNNNNNNNNNNNNNNNNNNNNNNNNNNNNNNNNNNNNNNNNNNNNNNNNNNNNNNNNNNNNNNNNNNNNNNNNNNNNNNNNNNNNNNNNNNNNNNNNNNNNNNNNNNNNNNNNNNNNNNNNNNNNNNNNNNNNNNNNNNNNNNNNNNNNNNNNNNNNNNNNNNNNNNNCCGCUCCUUUCAAAAAAAACAAAAACCCCAGCCACUGGAAGGCUGACGCGUGGAUGCCUUUUGGUCCCGGUUGGUACCACCAACCGGGACCAAAGGCCCCCUGACUGGGCUCGGCGCACAGGGCCACGUGGAGGCACAUUGGUCCCGGUUCGUGUUUGAACCGGGACUAAUGGGUGGAGGUAUUAGUAACGACCCAUUAGUCCCGGUUCAUGAACCGGGACUAAAGGCCCUUACGAACCGGGACUAUUAGGUGUUUCUCUACUAGUGAAAAGGCCCAAGUUCAACUAUACUCUUUGAUGUUUUGGCUAUGGGCUGGGCCGGCUAUGGCCCAUCUGCCUUGCUUUAGCUCCACCAGUGGUCAAGACUAUCAAGAAAAGGCACCAUGAAAAUUACUAUAACAAAUUUUCUCUUACUCAACUCGCAAUAAGAAAAAUCUCUCGGUGAUAGUGCUAUGCAACAUACGAGAGACCAUAAUAAUCUCUCACCCGUCCCAUGGUGCUGGCAGGGUCAACUCUAUAAUUUUGAGAGCCCUUGUGUGACAUUGGCAAAUUGAUAGUCUUUUUUUCUUUUAUUGUGCAUGAAAACUCCUUUUAAGCAACAUUAUAGUAACCCUAAAACUGACAAGGAAAGUAAAUACAUAAGUAGAAUUUUAGAAAUCAGAGCACUAACAUUUAACAUGCUUCGACGAAUGGGUGGCUCUGGUAAUAUGGAUAUGGAUACGAGGAAUGAGAGGCCUAGAGAGUGACAAGUUCAUGCUUUGUUGUCACAGACACCCGAGGAGGCGGCAAGACACUCACGUCGUCAAGCUACGAGACAAACCUGUGAAGAUGAAGAUCACGAAUUACAAUUAGGAGAACUGGUGAUGCCAUGUGUCCAUGUCGCACACCGAUUAUGAUUAUUUUCCUUUUUAUGGACCAGUUCAACCAAGGCUAAAGGCCUAAAGCUUCUUGGAGAGCGUGUAUACCUUAAUUUUAGGAGAGCUCAUUUGAAAAAAGCCAGAAGACUAAAAAAGAAAAAUCAGGCCGAAAGUUUCCAUAACCAAAGUUGGCCCAUAAGCUUCUGGAAGCUUCCUAAAACCGACAGGAGGGAGCUUCCUCUCAUGUGAAUGCCAUAGAUUGGGCAGCCCUUUUAUAAUCUAUUGAAGGAAGAGGUGUGUGCGCUUUUUACCAAUAACUUGGAAACCAAUGCUAAAUAGCAUAUUUCCACUUUUAGCGCGGCGUAGAACAGAAUUUGACUAUAGAUCCACGGUAUGGGCAAAUCCCAACAUUUUUUCUAUAGGGGCAGAUGCCUCACUCUAACGAGUAGGAUUUUUUUGUUCUUAUUUUCACAUUUUUCUUUUCAUUUUUCCUAAUUUUCUAGAAAACGCUCUAUAACAUAUAUGGGUGAUCAUAUAGUUUAAUAAGUGUUCAUGUACUUUAAAAAUGUUCAUCACGUAUUUAUAAAAUGUUUUCAAAAUAUGAAACAUUUUUGAAAUACACAUGCAAUUACAAAAGUGUUCAUAUUUUUCUGAAAAUAUACACUAUGAAUAUCUUGAACAAUAUGGAUGAAGAUUUAUUUUAAUACAUGAUGAACCUUUGAAAUCACAAUAUUUUCUAAAAAAUACACAACGAUUUUUAUAUACACAAUAAACAUGUUUUUCAUACACGAUGAACAUUUUGUAAAAACAUGAGUGAACAUUGCCCAACUCCGAUGAGGGAGGGCCAAUGAUGGUAGUACGCCUUCGCCUUGCUCGAGUGAUUGUAGACAUCGCUAGGUGGUCUACGGACCAGGACAUAAGUUCUGUUACCUCUGGUGUUCUUGUACUGACAUGAUGGUUGAUAAGUAGAUCAGAUUUUUUCCGUAAUCUUAUUAAGAAAAAUGUUCAACUUGUCUUACAAAUUGUUCCAGAGAUUAAGAAAAAUAUAUUCGCAUUUUUCAAAAAGAACAGUACAUUUCAAUUUUUUCACAUGUUUAGAAUAUUGUUCAUGGCCAUAUUAAAAUAUUCAUGAAAUAUAAAAAAUGCGUUAUUACAGUUUUGGAAAGAUGUUUGUGGUAUAUAAAAAAUGUUCAUCAUGUAUUUAUAAAACAAUCAAACUUGUAUUAAAAAAAUAUUAUAUGUGUAUCUGAAAAUGUUUAUUAUUUUUAAUAAUUUCAGUGUGUAUUUGAAAAAUAGAAAAAAAAACAUGAAACAAUGAAUAGGAAAAGUAAAAGAGAAACCAAAAAUGAAAAACCUAAACAAACCCAAUAAACAAGAGAAAUAAAAAACCGGACAAAACGUUAUGAAAUCACAAGAAACAAACAAAUGCUACACACCUCCACCACUACUGGGCCACAGCCCACACCGCAUCGCCAGAGACAUAGCAUUUGCGCAAAAUGACCGCACGCAUUGAACAAACUGUCGGCUAGCUAGUUAUUAGAAAGACAUGUAACUUAAUUCAAACUCAACAAAAUUAUAGCUACAAUGCUUUGGAUCAUAGAUACAAGAAAUUACAAAAUAACUCAUAUAACUAAGAAUUACAAUGAAACCCUCUUGAGUCAAAAUAUGAUAAACAGAGGAAAAAAACAUUAGCACAUAUAAUCCUUACUCUAUCCGAAUAUAUGGCGGUGCUAAACUUAGCAACCCCAUUAGUUUUGGAGCUCCAGCUUCAUGGAGUCUUUUUUGGAAAAUCAUACAUGCAUAACUAAAACACACUCAUGCAUGAGGCUGGAGAAUCAGGGGCAUGCAGCAUCAAAAUAGGUUAGUUUGUCGGAGAGUUAGAUUUAAUAAUUUGAGACAUUACGCAUGAUAAAAUUGUCAUUGGUAUCUACCAUUUUGAAACUGUGCACAGUAUACCGGGCCAGAGGGAGUGCUUGAGAAAACACUGAGAGUCAGCGAAAACUCGGUCUACUAAGCAAACCAUGGAGCCUUGGGGCGUCCUAACAGGUGGUGAAGCUCACGCACGAGGUGACUGCACAAUCGGGCCAGUUCUUUUCCGGAGAGCUUUCCUUUCGAUUGUGAAUUGAACUGCAGCGAUUGCUUUUUACUUUGUAUUGCAUUGCACAAACGUGUACACUGUCUAUCUUAAUUUCUAAAUGAUGGCCGGUCACAUGGACGUGUGAGCACGGGAUUGACAAGGCAACUAACAGAAUUCUAUUACUACGAGGAGGCAACUGAUAAAGUAAAAAUAUUGUUACCCACCCUACUAUCAUCAGAUGGAGACACGCACGCAGAAUCCACUGGACAAGGCGACUAACAUAAUUCUAUUACCACGAGGAUGCAACUAAUAGAGUAAAAAUAUUGUUACUCACACGUACUACCACCACAAAAGACACACACGCAGAAUCCAGCUGUACUUAUUAACACGUCUAGCUACCUACGUGUGGUUUCUUCAUUUGUAAUCAACUAAUCAACCAAUAUAACUCCACCGACAUGUUAUACAGUACUACUUGUCACUCCAGCUAGGUAACUGCAAUGCUAAUUAAUGCAGCCUCCAGAUCUGGUUUGUUUCACCCAGCCUAUAAAACCACACAAUAUGUACCUUCAGUUCUCACACAACACACACACAAAGCACAGCAGGUGCAACACUAACUGCAAGCACAAGAAGUAGGCAGCAAUGGCGAAGCAUCGCCUCCUUGCCGUGCUCCUCAUCGGGAUAGUUGCAGCUUCCUCUUUCAACCAAGCAGCUACGGCUGGCCGAGGCCUUGCUGUUGUUGAGAAGUUCGCAGAGCUAGAGCCAAAGCCAGAACCCAAACCAGAGCCAAUGCCCAAACCUAUGCCACACCCAGAGUCAGAGCCCUGCAAACCUGAACCGCUGCCCAAACCCGAACCAAAGCCUGGACAGAAACCUGAACCAGAACCCAAGCCCAAGCCGAUGCCAAAACCAAAGCCAAAGCCCAAGCCCUGCUCCAAAC